GAUGAACGCUGGCGGCGUGCCUAAUACAUGCAAGUCGAGCGAACAGACGAGGAGCUUGCUCCUUCGACGUUAGCGGCGGACGGGUGAGUAACACGUAGGUAACCUACCUAUAAGACUGGGAUAACUUCGGGAAACCGGAGCUAAUACCGGAUAAUAUUUCGAACCGCAUGGUUCGAUAGUGAAAGAUGGCUUUGCUAUCACUUAUAGAUGGACCUGCGCCGUAUUAGCUAGUUGGUAAGGUAACGGCUUACCAAGGCAACGAUACGUAGCCGGCCUGAGAGGGUGAUCGGCCACACUGGAACUGAGACACGGUCAAGACGCCUACGGGAGGCAGCAGUAGGGAAUCUUCCGCAAUGGGCGAAAGCCUGACGGAGCAACGCCGCGUGAGUGAUGAAGGUCUUCGGAUCGUAAAACUCUGUUAAUAGGGAAGAACAAACGUGGAAGUAACUGUGCACGUCGUGACGGUACCGAAUCAGAAAGCCACGGCUAACUACGUG
This 497-nucleotide ribosomal RNA is filed under the name uncultured bacterium. RNAcentral describes it as "partial 16S ribosomal RNA". It matches the Rfam family "Bacterial small subunit ribosomal RNA", at positions 28 to 507 of the family's 1533-position model. The record is from RNAcentral.